Molecule: ribosomal RNA, 375 nt
Filed under: uncultured organism
Description: partial 16S ribosomal RNA
Rfam family: Bacterial small subunit ribosomal RNA
Source: RNAcentral
GUAGGUGGCAAGCGUUGUCCGGAAUUAUUGGGCGUAAAGCGCGCGCAGGUGGUUCUUUAAGUCUGAUGUGAAAGCCCCCGGGCUCAACCGGGGAGGGGUCAUUGGAAACUGGGGAACUUGAUGCAGGAGAGGAAAGUGGAAUUCCACGUGUAGCGGUGAAAUGCGUAGAUAUGUGGAGGAACACCAGUGGCGAAGGCGACUUUCUGGCCUGUAACUGACACUGAGGCGCGAAAGCGUGGGGAGCAAACAGGAUUAGAUACCCUGGUAGUCCACGCCGUAAACGAUGAGUGCUAAGUGUUGGGGGGGUUUCCGCCCCCUCAGUGCUGCAGCUAACGCAUUAAGCACUCCGCCUGGGGAGUACGGUCGCAAAGACUG